RNAcentral lists this ribosomal RNA (402 nucleotides) under uncultured bacterium. RNAcentral describes it as "bacterial SSU rRNA". It matches the Rfam family "Bacterial small subunit ribosomal RNA", at positions 355 to 774 of the family's 1533-position model. The record is from RNAcentral.
UCGGGAAUUUUGGGCAAUGGGCGAAAGCCUGACCCAGCAACGCCGCGUGAGGGAUGAAGUAUUUCGGUAUGUAAACCUCGAAAGAAUGGGAAGAAUAAAUGACGGUACCAUUUAUAAGCUCCGGCUAACUACGCGCCAGCAGCCGCGGUAAUACGUAGGGAGCAAGCGUUGUUCGGAUUUACUGGGCGUAAAGGGCGCGUAGGCGGCGCGGUAAGUCACUUGUGAAAUCUCUGAGCUUAACUCAGAACGGCCAAGUGAUACUGCUGUGCUAGAGUGCGGAAGAGGCAACCGGAAUUCUUGGUGUAGCGGUGAAAUGCGUAGAUAUCAAGAGGAACACCUGAGGCGAAGGCGGGUUGCUGGGCCGACACUGACGCUGAUGCGCGAAAGCCAGGGGAGCAAACG